GCAUAGCUCAAUCAGUAAAGCAUGAGUCUUCAUCUCAAUGUCAUGGGUUCAAGCCCUAUGUUGGGCA
Podarcis lilfordi (Lilford's wall lizard) is the source of this 67-nucleotide non-coding RNA. NCBI's taxonomy places the organism in Eukaryota, Metazoa, Chordata, Lepidosauria, Squamata, Lacertidae. The record is from the annotation of a GenBank genome assembly.